CUUGACAUACCGAUGACAGGUCUAGAGAUAGAUUUUCCCUUUUAGGGCAUCGGAUACAGGUGGUGCAUGGUUGUCGUCAGCUCGUGUCGUGAGAUGUUGGGUUAAGUCCCGCAACGAGCGCAACCCCUAUUGUUAGUUGCCAUCAUUAAGUUGGGCACUCUAGCGAGACUGCCAGUAAUAAACUGGAGGAAGGUGGGGAUGACGUCAAAUCAUCAUGCCCCUUAUGACCUGGGCUACACACGUGCUACAAUGGGAAGUACAACGAGUUGCGAGGCGGUGACGCCAGGCUAAUCUCUUAAAGCUUCUCUCAGUUCGGAUUGUAGGCUGCAACUCGCCUACAUGAAGUCGGAAUCGCUAGUAAUCGCGGAUCAGCACGCCGCGGUGAAUACGUUCCCGGGCCUUGUACACACCGCCCGUCACACCACGAGAGUUUGUAACACCCGAAGUCGGUGAGGUAACCGUAAGGAGCCAACCGCCUAAGGUGGGAUAGAUGAUUGGGGUGAAGUCGUAACAAGGUAGGCGUAGAUGA
Molecule: ribosomal RNA, 529 nt
Filed under: uncultured bacterium
Lineage: Bacteria
Description: partial 16S ribosomal RNA
Rfam family: Bacterial small subunit ribosomal RNA
Source: RNAcentral